GUGAGGUAAUGGCUCACCAAGGCUACGACGGGUAGCUGGUCUGAGAGGAUGACCAGCCACAUUGGGACUGAGACACGGCCCAGACUCCUACGGGAGGCAGCAGUGGGGAAUAUUGCGCAAUGGCCGAAAGGCUGACGCAGCGACGCCGCGUGCGGGAUGAAGGCCCUCGGGUCGUAAACCGCUGUCAGGAGGGACGAAACUCUGACGGUACCUCCAGAGGAAGCACCGGCUAACUCCGUGCCAGCAGCCGCGGUAAUACGGAGGGUGCGAGCGUUGUCCGGAAUCACUGGGCGUAAAGGGCGCGUAGGCGGCGCAGUAAGUAGGGGGUGAAAUCUCACGGCUCAACCGUGAAACGGCCUCCAAAACUGCUGUGCUUGAGCACGGUAGAGGCAGAUGGAAUUCCCGGUGUAGCGGUGGAAUGCGUAGAUAUCGGGAAGAACACCAGUGGCGAAGGCGGUCUGCUGGGCCGUUGCUGACGCUGAGGCGCGACAGCGUGGGGAGCAAACAGGAUUAGAUACCCUGUAGUCCACGCCGUAAACGAUGGGUACUAGGCGUCGGGGGGAGCGACCCCUUCGGUGCCGUCGCUAACGCAGUAAGUA
Molecule: ribosomal RNA, 599 nt
Filed under: uncultured Actinomycetes bacterium
Lineage: Bacteria; Bacillati; Actinomycetota; Actinomycetes
Description: bacterial SSU rRNA
Rfam family: Bacterial small subunit ribosomal RNA
Source: RNAcentral